UGCUCAGUGAGUUUUGGAGCAUGUAAGCUUCUAGGUCAGAAGAUGCCUAGGCUUAAUAUUGAAGUUAUUGAUGAGAGGGGACCUCCAGAUUCAAGGCCAGAAAGUUGUCCUGUAGAGAAGCUUUACAUUUAUAGGACUCUUGCUGGGCCUCGAUUUGACAUGCCUGGUUUUGUCUGGACCAUGGAUGAAGACUCUGCAUUGAGGUUUUCUUGACUCUCCCACUUCUGCAUAAAGCUCCUUUGCGGUGAAUAGAUUCAGUGGGUACAUACUUCAAAUGGUACUCAUUGUUGCACAUUUAAAUUUCUUUAGCUUGAUAUAAUUGCAGCCCAAUUGUCUGGGAACCAGGAAUGGACGGUAUACCGAGGCUUGAGAGUUCAAUUGCCAUCCCAUUUUACACUUUUCUGAGCUAUUGGUUUACCAAUUAGGGAUUAAUAAAGAUAUGAAGACUUGUAAUUGGUUGUAGCAUGCAUUAAUCAGACUUGUUGCUUAAUUCGAGAUAGUUGCCAUGUACACCAUUCACAGACUGGAAUGGUUGUGUUUUAUUUUACAAUUUUGGGAUGAACAUUAUUUUGUGGACUCAUUUGUGUCAUUUUUAGGCUCCUUGAGGAAUAAAAUCUCAGAUUCAAG
This 627-nucleotide unclassified non-coding RNA is filed under the name Hevea brasiliensis (rubber tree). The record is from RNAcentral. Lineage: Eukaryota; Viridiplantae; Streptophyta; Magnoliopsida; Malpighiales; Euphorbiaceae.